This is a non-coding RNA of Acanthosepion pharaonis, 109 nucleotides long. The record is from the annotation of a GenBank genome assembly. NCBI's taxonomy places the organism in Eukaryota, Metazoa, Mollusca, Cephalopoda, Sepiida, Sepiidae.
AGCCACAUCACGAUGAAACACCGGUUCUCGUACGUUCACCGAAGUUAAGCAACGUCGAGCCUGGUCAGUACCUAGAUGGGUGGCAGCUUGGGAAUACCAGACGCUGUAC